GAAAUGUGAUAAGUAAUGUGAAUUGCAGAAUUCAGUGAAUCAUCGAAUCUUUGAACGCACCUUGCGCUCCUUGGUAUUCCUUGGAGCAUGCCUGUUUGAGUAUCAUGAAAUCUUCAAAGUAAAUCUUUUGUUAACUCAAUUGGUUUCUACUUGGUAUUGGAGGUCUUUGCAGCUUCACACCUGCUCCUCUUUGUUCAUUAGCUGGAUCUCAGUGUUAUGCUUGGUUCCACUCGGCGUGAUAAGUUAUCUAUCGCUGAGGACACUGUAAAAGGUGGCCAAGGUAAAUGCAGAUGAACCGCUUCUAAUAGUCCAUUGACUUGGACAAUACUUUUAUGAUCUGAUCUCAAAUCAGGUAGGACUACCCGCUGAACUUAAGC
This 377-nucleotide unclassified non-coding RNA is filed under the name plant metagenome. RNAcentral's name for it is "partial contains 5.8S ribosomal RNA, internal transcribed spacer 2, and large subunit ribosomal RNA". The stretch from base 1 to 105 matches the Rfam family "5.8S ribosomal RNA", at positions 50 to 154 of the family's 154-position model. The record is from RNAcentral.